UGUUAAAGUGUCAGAAUUAUGUGCUGAAUUUAGGGUUUAGUUAUGGGAAUAAUUCCCCUUUAAUAA
Molecule: transfer RNA, 66 nt
Filed under: Dosinia japonica
Lineage: Eukaryota; Metazoa; Mollusca; Bivalvia; Venerida; Veneridae
Description: tRNA-Leu
Source: RNAcentral